CCUACGGGAGGCAGCAGUGGGGAAUAUUGCACAAUGGGGGAAACCCUGAUGCAGCAACGCCGCGUGAGUGAAGGAGUAUUUCGGUAUGUAAAGCUCUGUCAGUAGGGAAGAAGAAAGGCGGUACCUAAUUAAGACGCCCCGGCGAACCACGUGCAAGCAGCCACGGUAAUACGUAGGGGGCAAGCGUUAUCCGGAUUUACUGGGUGGAAAGGGAGCGUAGACGGCUGGGCAAGUCUGAGGUGAAAGCCCGUGGCUCAACCGCGGAACUGCUUUGGAAACUGUAUGGCUUGAGUACUGGAGAGGCAGGUGGAAUUCCAAGUGUAGCGGUGAAAUGCGUAGAUAUUAGGAGGAACACCAGUGGCGAAGGCGGCCUGCUGGACAGAAACUGACGUUGAGGCUCGAAAGCGUGGGGAGCAAACAGGAUUAGAUACCCUGGUAGUC
RNAcentral lists this ribosomal RNA (441 nucleotides) under uncultured bacterium. Its description in RNAcentral is "partial 16S ribosomal RNA". It matches the Rfam family "Bacterial small subunit ribosomal RNA", at positions 338 to 795 of the family's 1533-position model. The record is from RNAcentral.